ACCAGUAACGGGGGCGGACCUUGAAUGGUGACCAAUUGCGAUCCUCUGGCCGGAUAAGUAGCCAUGAUCGCCGGGCAAGUCGACUUGCCCGACCACUUCUCUCCGCCCUGUCUGAUACACCCAUGCUUUUUGCGUACCACUGUUUCCUCGGCAGGCUUGCCUGCCAGCAGGACCCUUUUAAACCCUUUGCAGUUGCAGUCAGCGUCAGAAAAACACAAUAGUUA
RNAcentral lists this unclassified non-coding RNA (224 nucleotides) under uncultured fungus. Its description in RNAcentral is "sequence contains ITS1, 5.8S rRNA gene". Lineage: Eukaryota; Fungi. The record is from RNAcentral.